This 392-nucleotide ribosomal RNA is filed under the name uncultured eukaryote. Its description in RNAcentral is "partial 18S ribosomal RNA". It matches the Rfam family "Eukaryotic small subunit ribosomal RNA", at positions 592 to 976 of the family's 1831-position model. The record is from RNAcentral.
CAAUAGCGUAUAUUAAAGUUGCUGCAGUUAAAAAGCUCGUAGUUGGAUUUGUGGCGCGACCGUCCGGCGGGGCUCCUUCAUUGGGGCCGUUUGUCUGGUUUUCGGCCGCCCCAUUCUCGGGUAGCGUGUGACUGGCAUUAGGUUGUCGGUUACUUCGCGCCCGUCGUUUACUGUGAAAAAAUUAGAGUGUUCAAAGCAGGCUUAGGCCGUUGGAUACAUUAGCAUGGAAUAAUGAGAUAGGGCCACGACGGUCUAUUUUGUUGGUUCGCACGUUGUGGUAAUGAUUAACAGGAACGGUUGGGGGUAUUCGUAUUCAAUUGUCAGAGGUGAAAUUCUUGGAUUUAUGGAAGACGAACUACUGCGAAAGCAUUUACCAAGGAUGUUUUCAUUAA